This 229-nucleotide ribosomal RNA is filed under the name uncultured bacterium. RNAcentral describes it as "partial 16S ribosomal RNA". It matches the Rfam family "Bacterial small subunit ribosomal RNA", at positions 568 to 796 of the family's 1533-position model. The record is from RNAcentral.
UGCGUAGGCGGAUUAAUAAGUCAGUGGUGAAAACCUGCAGCUUAACUGUAGAACUGCCAUUGAUGCUGUUAGUCUUGAGUACGGUCAAGGUAGGCGGAAUGUGUAAUGUAGCGGUGAAAUGCUUAGAUAUUACACAGAACACCGAUUGCGAAGGCAGCUUACUGGGCCAUUACUGACGCUGAGGCACGAAAGCGUGGGUAGCGAACAGGAUUAGAUACCCUGGUAGUCC